UGAGUCGGCCAGGCGGCCGCGUCGGGGGAGACCCCGCCGAGGAACGUCCGGGCUCCGCAGAGCAGGGUGGUGGGUAACGCCCACCCGGGGUGACCCGCGGGACAGUGCCACAGAGAACAGACCGCCAUCCGGCAGGGCCUCGGCCAGGCCGGGCGGCAAGGGUGAAACGGUGGAGUAAGAGCCCACCAGCGCACCGGGUGACCGGUGCGGCUCGGCAAACCCCACCCGGAGCAAGGCCAGACAGGGAGCGUUCGAGGGCUGCUCGCCCGAGCUCCCGGGUAGGCCGCUGGAGGUGUGCGGCAACGUACACCCGAGAUGGAUGGCCGCCACCGGCGCCUUCGGGCGCCGGGACAGAACCCGGCGUACCGGCCGACUCAUCCG
Molecule: RNase P RNA, 381 nt
Filed under: Actinotalea fermentans
Lineage: Bacteria; Bacillati; Actinomycetota; Actinomycetes; Micrococcales; Cellulomonadaceae
Also listed under: 1 other name
Description: Bacterial RNase P class A
Rfam family: Bacterial RNase P class A
About the family: Ribonuclease P (RNase P) is a ubiquitous endoribonuclease, found in archaea, bacteria and eukarya as well as chloroplasts and mitochondria.
Source: Rfam by way of RNAcentral